RNAcentral lists this ribosomal RNA (300 nucleotides) under uncultured Alteromonadales bacterium. Its description in RNAcentral is "bacterial SSU rRNA". It matches the Rfam family "Bacterial small subunit ribosomal RNA", at positions 115 to 418 of the family's 1533-position model. The record is from RNAcentral. Lineage: Bacteria; Pseudomonadati; Pseudomonadota; Gammaproteobacteria; Alteromonadales.
GCGUAGGAAUCUACCUGGUAGUGGGGGACAACUUGUGGAAACGCAAGCUAAUACCGCAUACGCCCUACGGGGGAAAGCGGGGGAUCUUCGGACCUCGCGCUAUUGGAUGAGCCUGCGUAAGAUUAGCUAGUUGGUGAGGUAAAGGCUCACCAAGGCGACGAUCUUUAGCUGGUCUGAGAGGAUGAUCAGCCACACUGGAACUGAGACACGGUCCAGACUCCUACGGGAGGCAGCAGUGGGGAAUAUUGCGCAAUGGGCGAAAGCCUGACGCAGCCAUGCCGCGUGUGUGAAGAAGGCCCU